AAAGGAAUAGACGGGGGCCCGCACAAGCGGAGGAACAUGUGGUUUAAUUCGAUGAUACGCGAGGAACCUUACCUGGGCUUAAAUGCACGGUGCAUGUUGUGGAAACACACUUCCCUUCGGGGCUUCGUGCAAGGUGCUGCAUGGUUGUCGUCAGCUCGUGCCGUGAGGUGUCGGGUUAAGUCCCAUAACGAGCGCAACCCUUACCGUUAGUUGCCAUCAGGUUAAGCUGGGGACUCUAGCGGGACUGCCACCGUAAGGUGUGAGGAAGGUGGGGAUGACGUCAAAUCAGCACGGCCCUUAUGUCCAGGGCUACACACGUGUUACAAUGGCCGGUACAGAGGGCAGCUACCUGGUGACAGGGUGCUAAUCUUCAAAGCCGGUCUCAGUUCGGAUUGGAGUCUGCAAUUCGACUCCAUGAAGUAGGAUUCGCUAGUAAUCGCGCAUCAGCCACGGCGCGGUGAAUACGUUCCCGGGCCUUGUACACACCGCCCGU
This 493-nucleotide ribosomal RNA is filed under the name uncultured bacterium. RNAcentral's name for it is "bacterial SSU rRNA". It matches the Rfam family "Bacterial small subunit ribosomal RNA", at positions 903 to 1397 of the family's 1533-position model. The record is from RNAcentral.